This is a regulatory RNA element of Oryctolagus cuniculus (rabbit), 35 nucleotides long. It matches the Rfam family "Iron response element I". The record is from Rfam. Lineage: Eukaryota; Metazoa; Chordata; Mammalia; Lagomorpha; Leporidae.
CUGUGUACUGCUUCAACAGUGUUGGAACGGAACAG